UCAAGCUACUAAGGGCAUACGGUGGAUGCCUUGGCACUAAGAGCCGAUGAAGGACGCGGUAAGCUGCGAAAAGCCACGGGGAACUGCAAGCAAGUCUUGAUCCGUGGAUGUCCGAAUGGGGAAACCCACCAUCCGUCAUGGGAUGGUAUCCUACGGGAGGGGAACCCGGUGAACUGAAACAUCUAAGUAGCCGGAGGAAGAGAAAUCAAACGAGAUGCCCACAGUAGCGGCGAGCGAAGAGGGCAGAGCCUAAACCAGUCAUCUUCGGAUGGUUGGGGUUACGGACCUGCAUCAACCGAGUCCUACCUAGUCGAAUUACCUGGAAAGGUAAGCCAGAGAGCGUAAGAGCCGCGUAGGUGAAAGGAAGGACGAGGGGGCAGGGAUCCAGAGUACCACGAAGCACGAGGAAUUUUGUGGGAAGUCGGGGGGACCACCCUCCAAGGCUAAACACUUCUUAGUGACCGAUAGCGCAUAGUACCGUGAGGGAAAGGUGAAAAGAACCGCGGGAGCGGAGUGAAAGAGAACCUGAAACCGUAUGUCUACAAGCAGUCGGAGCGCAAGCGACGGCGUGCCUAUUGAAGAAUGAGCCAACGAGUUACGGGCACCAGCGAGGUUAAGCAGGAAAUGCGGAGCCGGAGCGAAAGCGAGUCUAAACAGGGCGAAUAGUUGGUGUUCGUAGACCCGAAACUGUAGUGAUCUACCCAUGAUCAGGUUGAAGCGCAGGUAAAAAUGCGUGGAGGACCGAACCGGUGAGCGUUGAAAAGCUUUCGGAUGAGAUGUGGGUAGGGGUGAAAUUCCAAUCGAACGCGGAGAUAGCUGGUUCUCCCCGAAAUAGCUUUAGGGCUAGCCUCAGGUAGUAAGUAUAGGCGGUAGAGCACUGAUCGGGCUAGGGGCCAUAAAGGUUACCGAACCCUGUCAAACUCCGAAUGGAUAUACUGCAGAGCCUGGGAGUCAGACUACGAGUGAUAAGAUCCGUGGUCAAAAGGGAAACAGCCCAGACCACCGGCUAAGGUCCCAAAUGCCGUACUAAGUGGAAAAGGAUGUGGGGAUUCAUAAACAACCAGGAUGUUGGCUCAGAAGCAGCCACCAUUUAAAGAGUGCGUAAUAGCUCACUGGUCGAGAGUCCCUGCGCCGAAAAUUUCCGGGGCUAAAGUACGGAACCGAAGCCGUGGCUGUGCAUGUAAGUGCACGGGGUAGGGGAGCGUUGCCACAGGGGUGAAGCUGGUCUGGAAGGACUGGUGGACUUGUGGGAAGUGAGAAUGUUGGUAUGAGUAGCGAAAAGAAAGGUGAGAAUCCUUUCCACCGAAAGCAUAAGGAUUCCUGAGCAACGAUCGUCGUCUCAGGGUAAGUCGGGACCUAAUCCGAGGCAAAGAGCGUAGGAGAUGGACAACAGGUUGAUAUUCCUGUACCGGCAGCAAUUGUUUGAGCGAAGGAGUGACACAGAAGGGCAGGCAGGCGCGAGACUGGAUUGUCGCGUGCAAGCGUGUAGGGUAGUGUACAGGCAAAUCCGUACACUGAAAGCCUGAGGCGUUACGCGGAGCGAGCAGAGAUGCGAGCGAAGCUGCUGAUCCCACACUGUCGAGAAAAGCUUCUAGUGAGAGAGCUGCCGCCCGUACCGUAAACCGACACAGGUAUGCGGGGAGAGAAUCCUAAGGUGCGCGGGAGAACCCUCGUUAAGGAACUCGGCAAAAUGUACCCGUAACUUCGGGAUAAGGGUAGCCACAGUGGUGAAGGGACUUGCUCCUGGAGCCUAGUGUGGUCGCAGAGAAGAGGCCCAAGCGACUGUUAACCAGAAACACAGGUGCCUGCGAAAGAGAAAUCUGAUGUAUAGGUGCUGACACCUGCCCAGUGCUGGAAGGUUAAAGAAGGAUGUCCGGGUUCGACCCAAAGCAUUUGACUGAAGCCCCAGUGAACGGCGGCCGUAACUAUAACGGUCCUAAGGUAGCGAAAUUCCUUGUCGGGUAAGUUCCGACCCGCACGAAAGGUGUAACGAUUUGGGCACUGUCUCAACGAGGGACCCGGUGAAAUUGAAAUACCUGUGAAGAUGCAGGUUACCCGCGACUGGACAGAAAGACCCCAUGGAGCUUUACUGUAACCU
RNAcentral lists this ribosomal RNA (2098 nucleotides) under human gut metagenome. RNAcentral's name for it is "bacterial LSU rRNA". It matches the Rfam family "Bacterial large subunit ribosomal RNA", at positions 3 to 2112 of the family's 2925-position model. The record is from RNAcentral.